GUGCUCGCUUCGGCAGCACAUAUAUUAAAAUUGGAAUGAUACAGAGAAGAUUAGCAUGGCCCUUGUGCCAGGAUGACAUGNGAAUCCNUGAAACGUUCCAUAUAUAA
RNAcentral lists this small nuclear RNA (107 nucleotides) under Salvator merianae (Argentine black and white tegu). The record is from RNAcentral. Lineage: Eukaryota; Metazoa; Chordata; Lepidosauria; Squamata; Teiidae.